Molecule: small nuclear RNA, 22 nt
Filed under: Arabidopsis thaliana (thale cress)
Lineage: Eukaryota; Viridiplantae; Streptophyta; Magnoliopsida; Brassicales; Brassicaceae
Description: snRNA_12505
Source: RNAcentral
CAGCAGCAAGGGUAGGGUACGA